RNAcentral lists this ribosomal RNA (456 nucleotides) under uncultured bacterium. RNAcentral describes it as "SSU rRNA". It matches the Rfam family "Bacterial small subunit ribosomal RNA", at positions 26 to 518 of the family's 1533-position model. The record is from RNAcentral.
AGAAUCAACGCUGGCGGCGUGCCUAACACAUGCAAGUCGAACGAGAAAGUGGAGCAAUCCAUGAGUAAAGUGGCGACCGGGUGAGUAACACGUGACUAACCUACCUUUGAGUGGGGGAUAACAUCGGGAAACCGAUGCUAAUACCGCAUAACAUCGCAAGAUCAAAGCAGCAAUGCGCUUAAAGAGGGGGUCGCGGCUGAUUAGCUAGUUGGCGGGUAACGCCCACAAGGCGAAGAUCGGUAUCCGGCCUGAGAGGGCGCACGGACACACUGGAACUGAAACACGGUCCAGACUCCUACGGGAGGCAGCAGUGGGGAAUUUUGCGCAAUGGGGAAACCCUGACGCAGCAACGCCGCGUGGAGGAUGAAGCCCCUUGGGGCGUAAACUCCUUUCGACCAAGACGAUAAUGACGGUACUGGUGGAAGAAGCACCGGCUAACUCUGCGCCAGCAGCCGC